RNAcentral lists this ribosomal RNA (253 nucleotides) under uncultured bacterium. RNAcentral describes it as "partial 16S ribosomal RNA". It matches the Rfam family "Bacterial small subunit ribosomal RNA", at positions 524 to 776 of the family's 1533-position model. The record is from RNAcentral.
UACGGAGGGGGCUAGCGUUGUGCGGAAUUACUGGGCGUAAAGCGCGCGUCGGCGGACCUGCAAGUCGGGGGUGAAAGCCCGAGGCUCAACCUCGGAACUGCCUUCGAUACUGCGGGUCUCGAGUCCGGGAGAGGUGAGUGGAAUUCCUAGUGUAGAGGUGAAAUUCGUAGAUAUUAGGAAGAACACCAGUGGCGAAGGCGGCUCACUGGCCCGGUACUGACGCUGAGGCGCGACAGCGUGGGGAGCAAAUAGG